GACGUACGCUGGCGGCGUGCUUAACACAUGCAAGUCGAACGGAAAGGCCCUGCUUUUGUGGGGUGCUCGAGUGGCGAACGGGUGAGUAACACGUGAGUAACCUGCCCUUGACUUUGGGAUAACUUCAGGAAACUGGGGCUAAUACCGGAUAGGAGCUCCUGCUGCAUGGUGGGGGUUGGAAAGAUUCGGCUGUUGGGGCUGGACUCGAGGCUUAUCAGCUUGUUGGUGGGGUAGUGGCUUACCAAGGCUUUGACGGGUAGCCGGCAUGAGAGGGUGACCGGGCACAAUGGGGCUGAGGUACGGAGCAGAAUGCUACCGGAGGCAGCGGUGGAGAAUAUUACGCAGCGGGGGGGAGUGAGAUGCAGCAACGCUGCGUUCGUGAUGACGGCCUUCGGGUUGUGAACCGCUUUGGCCUGUGACGAAGCGGGAGUGACGGUAAUGGGUAAAGAAGCACCGGCUAACUACGUG
This 468-nucleotide ribosomal RNA is filed under the name uncultured bacterium. RNAcentral describes it as "partial 16S ribosomal RNA". It matches the Rfam family "Bacterial small subunit ribosomal RNA", at positions 28 to 507 of the family's 1533-position model. The record is from RNAcentral.